CUGCUUUGCCUCGCAGCUGGAGAAGCCACCUCGCUUCCCCUCCACUCUACUGGGGUGACGAGAUAGCAACUGACGUCAGCUCGGGCUGAUUGCGUCACGACCGCAGGCAAAUCGCCGCUCUUGCCAAAGCGCUUCUUCUCUCGCCUUCUGGAAAGGCCUCCGGAUUCGGGUUCGGUCCAGGCGGCGGGGCUGGUGGCCCGCGUGUAAGCCGGGGCUUCCACCACACACCUCACUUCCGGCGGGGGACGGGGCGGGGGGGCGUGUGUCUGCACGAGGUCUCGCGUGAAGUGGCUCUGCGGGAGCGGGAGCGGGAGCGGGAGCGGGAGCGGGUGCGACGCACGCGGCGGCGCAGGCGUCGGCCGCCCCGAGACCCACCGACACCCUUCGGGAGGUCGCAGCAGGCCCGACGCUGCGGGGGCUUCCCUGGAACCGGGCUGUGCCCCCGCGGCCACGUGGGGAGGCGGCGGCAGAGCCCCUCGGAGCGCCGCGUGCCUCCCGGAGGACGGCGAGAGCCGCAGCCCCGGCGGCUGCUGGGCCGCGGAGGCGGACAUUUGGAAACCAGCUCCGUGGAAGUUGUGAGGCACCCAGAGAGCACAAACUUCUAUCUUUUAUCUCAUGGAUCCAAUGUAACUGUUACCGAAGACCUGUGACCAAUCUCAUGAGGAAAAUUAAAAUUAGGACUGGCUCUUCAGAAUUGCUCUAAAUUAAAGUAAGUUUCCUGAGCUUUUGUCCUCCAACAUUAACCAGUUGUCUUAUCACUUAAAUGAGUCAAAAAAUAGUUUGAUUAUCAAAGGAUUUAUAAAGAUUCUGAGAAAACUGAUGUUAUCUUGGAAUAUUUUUUCAAAAAUAUUUUCUUGUGAUCACCUUGCGUUUAAUUGAUUCUUUGCUCAAAAUACAAAUGUAUAAUUGCAAUUUAAACUUCGAUGUUGUAAAACUAAAAUAAUCUUAUUUAAGAAUUCCUAGCUCAAAAUUAAAGUCCCCAAGGUCUGCUUUAACACAGUUUACUGAAUUUUUUUAAAUAAAUUUUGCUUACAUAUCAAUGACUUCCCAUUAUGAUUCUAUACAUAGGAGUGGACACAGAUGUCACACAUGUGAAAUUUAUUUUUUCUGUAAUUUUAGUUCUCUAGUCUUCCUCUAUUAUAGAAUGGGUGAAAAGUUUAUUCAGAUUUUAUUCUUAGAAAAAAAGUUUAAGCAAGUCUAAGUAAGCUACAAGUCCAUUAAAAGUAAUAGAAGGAGAUAGAGAUCAGCUCUAAGUAAAUCCUGUGCAAAGGAAUUUAUCUUUCAAGCAUUCACCUCUUCUGGAAGAUAAGAAAGGUUUUCUUAACCAAUUAAUUGAGACUCAACUAAAUGUCAUGGCAAACAAAUUCAAAUUUUACAACAUGAAGCCGUUUCUUAUUGCAAACUUGGCAAGAACACUGUAAACUUGUAUAAAGUGAUGAUAUAGCACUUCCAGGAUCCCUGCUGUGCUUCCUGAUUAACAGAUUUAAAUCUAUGGCUUAUUGGAGAAAACAAUGAUUGGGAAUCAAAACAGCUACUGAUUCAGAUUCUAGAAUAGCUACUCCCCAGCCUUCUAAUGAAAGAUGAGACUGGUAUUUGACUUUAUGACAUCAUUAUGGCACAGUAGAUUGACAAUAAGGGGCCAAGAAUUUGUCCUGAGGUUUUCUUGGAAAUGAUGGGGCGAACCUGAAAUCAGGAUAGCAACAUCUUGGAAGGAAUCCGGGAUUUACUUCAUUUGUUAUUCAAACUCCACUCAGUUAUUAACUGGCUUCACUUGGUUAUCAGCAUACAUAUCUGCUUAGAUCUCUAGAUGUUAAGCUCUUAGAGAGAAGGAGUCAUUUAUUUAUCUGUUUCCACACAGGGACUAGUAACAUGCUUCACACAUAGCCACCAUUCAUUUAUUUGAUAAAAAUAGCAUUUUGAUUUUAUAUGGUAAAUUUUGGCCACAGCAUUUUUUAAUCCACUAAAAAACCUGUAUAUUUCAGUUAGUCAAAAUCAUAUUUAUUGAACAUUGACCAUGUAGUCUCUAUACUUAAUGUGUGUAUAUGUGUCUCUGUGUGUGUGUGUGUGUGUGUGUAUGAAUUAUCAGAGCUUUUUUAAAAUUUUUAAAUUAUUUUUUAAAAUUUAUUCAUGAGAGACACACAGAGAGAGAGAGAGAGAGAGAGAGGGAAAGAGAGAGAGGCAGAGACACAGGCAGAGGUAGAAGCAGGCAUGGGACUCCAUCCCCGGGUCUCCAGGAUCACACCCUGGGCUGAAGGCAGUGCUAAACCACUGAGCCACUCAGGCUGCCCUCUCAGAGCUUUUUAAGUGAAUAAACAUGCAAAACAAAUUCAAGGAGAGUUCAUUAUAGGCUGAAUUUGUCAAUGGAUGCUCAAUGGAAAAGGCAGAACUUGAGCUCCCCUCAGGGGGUAGAGAAAGAUAGCAGCAUUCUCCAUAUUUGGAUAGGGACAAUCUCACAGUAAAAGAACUUUGCUUUGAUAAGGAGCUCAUGUACAAAGUGUUCCCACUGUCAUCCUCUGUAAACAGCUUGGUCCCCAAGGCACUGAAGGAGAGUUUUGACUAAUUGUGACUUCCAGGAAAAUUGGUAAGUUGGGUUCAGACUGAUACUUGCUUAUAACUGUAAUCAUCCCUAGGAUUUUAAACAUUACAAGAUGUAUGUGAAACCAAGGGAAUCUGGGUAGUUGAAUGAGGAACUCAGCUGUCCCUCAGUAGUUCAUGCCAAUAUGAGAGUACAAAAACAAUGAUUAUGUGGCUGCUGUUACUACUGUUACUACUAAACUUGAUGAGUUUAUAUGUUGUUUUAAUAGUGAUUUUUAUUGCCCAGCAUCCAACUUAAUAACUUCAUUUUCUGGGUGGACAUGACUCCUAUUGCUGCUGGCUAUUGUGGUCCACAUGAAAAAUGAACAUGGUUGGUUGAGUCUCAAUUCUAACACUUUGGACAAAAAGCUGUCAUGGACCUGUUACAACAAAUUUUAGGUCCUGAAGUCUGAUUUACUUCUAAUUAGUUAAAUCUGUCAGUAUGUAUAAGGUGUAGGAAAGACAGGAAGGGAUAUAGAACUGAAUCUAUUGGAUAAGCUUCAUCGUAGGUUUCUGUAAUAUCUGCCCUAAGGGGCAAUUGUGAAGAUCUUUUUAUUAUGGGUAUUUUAAACUAUAUGUAAACCUAGAUAGACUAUUAAAAACGUGUCCUCAUGUGCCCAUCAAAAACUUCAGUAACCAUUGUUACUUGGCCUAUUUCAUCUGCAUGCCCACCCACUCUCUCUUUCUAACUCAAAGAUUAUUUUAAAGCAAAUUAGAGACAUCAUCUCAUUUCAUCUGUAAAUACUUUAGUAUUUAUCUCUAAACCAUUAGAAUUCUUGUUUACAUAACAAUAAUACCAUGGUAUGAUUUUAAAGAUCACAGUCAGACCUCCUCUAUCCUUAACCUGUUUACCAAUGUCUGAAAUUCUACAAACUUUAAAGCUUUUUGUUGGAAGAUAAAAACCAACACCCCAUUAGAAUUGUUACAACAAAACCUUUCCAGUUAUGAUUUAUGAAAAACAAGGUACCUGAAUUUGUGAGACAACAAUGGGCCAUUUUUGCAAUUAUAUCUAGAAUAGGCAGGCACAGUCAUCUAAGAAAGUUUAGAAAUCAUGACAAAUACCCCAAGAUCCUAAGAUUAUUUGCUAUCUGAGUGUAUAAUAAUAGUCACAAAUGUGCCAGAUCAGAGAACGGUAGGAUUCCAAGCCUGGUCUCCAAAGGCUACCAUCAUCUGGCUCUAUCUUACCUUCUAUGCCUUUCUUGGAUAACUUUCCUGUGACUAACUAAUCCUCUGUAACCUUGCCUGGUAAGUGUAUCACCCAAGAAUUUUUCUCCUUUCUAGUCAUCCCUGCUCAACCACUCCUGUACCCCACUCCCAUGUGAGAUGUGUUGGAUUUCUCUAACAUAGCUAAGAAAAUAAAACAGAUGGAUAGUUAUGUUGUGUAUUAAAACAGACUAAAUUUCAAUUCUUACUUUGAG
Molecule: long non-coding RNA, 3992 nt
Filed under: Canis lupus familiaris (dog)
Lineage: Eukaryota; Metazoa; Chordata; Mammalia; Carnivora; Canidae
Description: lncRNA (ENSCAFG00030011851.1)
Source: RNAcentral